UACGGAGGAAGCAAGCGUUAUCCGGAAUUACUGGGCGUAAAGAGUUGCGUAGGUGGCAAAGUGUGUCAGUAGUGAAAGCGUGUGGCUCAACCAUAUAUACAUUACUGAAACUGCUUAGCUAGAGGACGAGAGAGGUUAUUGGAAUUCCCAGUGUAGGAGUGAAAUCCGUAGAUAUUGGGAGGAACACCGAUGGCGUAGGCAGAUAACUGGCUCGUUCCUGACACUAAGGCACGAAAGCGUGGGGAGCAAACGGG
Molecule: unclassified non-coding RNA, 254 nt
Filed under: uncultured Patescibacteria group bacterium
Lineage: Bacteria
Description: contains 16S-23S intergenic spacer region
Rfam family: Bacterial small subunit ribosomal RNA
Source: RNAcentral